This is an RNA transcript of Piliocolobus tephrosceles (Ugandan red Colobus), 1063 nucleotides long. It is a transcript of the gene named acyl-CoA oxidase 1, with no coding region annotated. The record is from RefSeq and is a predicted model, not a curated record. The transcript has 7 exons. NCBI's taxonomy places the organism in Eukaryota, Metazoa, Chordata, Mammalia, Primates, Cercopithecidae.
AGCGGAGGCGGGGACUUGAGCGGUUCUGAGACUGCCUCAUAGGGCCUGGCCGGCGCUGGAGCUGCGGAUUUAGGUUGUCACUGCGACCUCCGUCGGUGCAUACUUCGCUGCCAGCUGGUCGUCGCCAUGAACCCGGACCUGCGCAGGGAGCGGGAUUCCGCCAGCUUCAACCCGGAGCUGCUUACACAUAUCCUGGACGGCAGCCCCGAGAACACCCGGCGCCGCCGAGAGAUCGAGAACAUGAUCCUGAACGACCCAGACUUCCAGCAUGAGGACUUGAACUUCCUCACUCGCAGCCAGCGUUAUGAGGUGGCUGUCAGGAAAAGUGCCAUCAUGGUGAAGAAGAUGAGGGAGUUUGGCAUCGCAGACCCUGAUGAAAUUAUGUGGUUUAAAAAACUACAUUUGGUCAAUUUUGUGGAACCUGUGGGCCUCAAUUACUCCAUGUUUAUUCCCACCUUGCUGAAUCAGGGCACCACUGCUCAGAAAGAGAAAUGGCUGCCUUCAUCCAAAGGACUCCAGAUAAUUGGCACCUACGCCCAGACGGAAAUGGGCCACGUUUUGUGCACCGAGGGCGGCCUGAGCCUCUGGAUCUUCACUUGGGCAUGUUCCUGCCCACCUUGCUUCACCAGGCAACUGCGGAGCAGCAGGAGCGCUUCUUCAUGCCCGCCUGGAACUUGGAGAUCAUUGGCACUUAUGCCCAGACAGAGAUGGGUCAUGGAACUCACCUUCGAGGCUUGGAAACCACAGCCACAUAUGACCCUGAAACCCAGGAGUUCAUUCUCAACAGUCCUACUGUGACCUCCAUUAAAUGGUGGCCUGGUGGACUUGGAAAGACUUCAAAUCAUGCAAUAGUUCUUGCCCAGCUCAUCACUAAGGGGAAAUGCUAUGGAUUACAUGCCUUUAUUGUACCUAUUCGUGAAAUCGGGACCCAUAAGCCUUUGCCAGGAAUUACCGUUGGCGACAUCGGCCCCAAAUUUGGUUAUGAUGAGAUGGACAAUGGCUACCUCAAAAUGGACAACUAUCGUAUUCCCAGAGAAAACAUGCUGAUGAAGUAUGCCCAGGU